CCCAAGGAAUCUAUCCGAACAUCUUUGGUUUUUUGGGGAUGCUGAGCAGGGUCUCACUAAUUUCCAAGUAAGAUGCUAAGAUUGCACAACUGGAUGGGGUUCGCUGUGCAUUCCUUCAGCUAAUGAAACUGAGCUGAAGGGAUUACCCAGGCAGUCUUUUUCUUGAUUUUAAAGAGAAAGUCUUUAACAUUUCUUCAUUUUCUAUGUUGUUGGCUGUUUGUUUUAAUGGGAUAAAGUUUUAAUGGGAUAAAAUAGAGACCGUCUAUUCAUGUUUUAUUGUUUUUAUAAUGAAUUGAUGUUGCAAUUUUUGAAAUGCUAUUUCUGCAUCUAUUCAGAUGACCAUGAUUGUCUAUGCUCCUGUUGGUCUAUUACAUUGAUUGAUUUGCAUAUGUUGAAUCAUUCCUGUAACCCUGAAAAAAUCAUUAUGAUACAUGGUCUUUUUGAUGACUUAUUUCAUUUCCUAUCAAUGAAAAGGGAUAUCUUUCCAUUUUCUAGGUCUCUUCUGGUUCCAGAUGAAUUUUAGGAGUCAUUUCUCUAGAUCUAUGAGUGAAUCUGUCUGGACCUGGGCUCUUCUUUGUAGGAGACUCCAUCAAUGCCAGAUUCAUCGCUGACUCAUCUGCUCGGACUUGCUGCCAAAGACUGACAGGGCUCAGGGCUCACAGCCCCUACUCCGGUAACAUUGUUGGAGCCCCGAGUCUCACUGGAGGUCUCAGGUAAGACACUAUCUGCACUUGUAGACACAGGGGUGACUUAUAGUGUUCUUCCUGAGUUUUCAGGACCUUGUAGUAAGUCCUCAAUUUCUGUUGUGGGCAUUGACAGCCAGCCUACCCAGCCUUUGCAAAUAGGCCUGUCCCAUGUAGGUUCCAGAUUCUUUUCUUUACCCAUAGCUUCCUAGUAAUCCCAAAAUGUCCCACACUCCUUUUAGGUAGAGACCUCCUUCAAAAGCUGAACUUCUCCUUUACUUUCUCCCUCCCCACAGCCCUAAUCCUCCAAACAGCCUCACAAUGCAUUGCAAAGCUAUUCCCUCCCCUUCCUCCUUCUCUGGUUGACCCCAUAAUUUGGGACACCUCCAAUCCCACUCUUGCUACCCAUGCUACACCCAUUUAAACCCAUCUCAGGGAUCCUUCAAUUUUUCCCUACGUUCCCCAAUACCCCAUGGCUCCCCAACAUUUACAGGGACUUAAACCCAUAAUUAAGCACCUUUUGGACAAUGGUUUUCUUAAACCUACUCAUUCACCCCACAAUACUCCCAUUCUCCCGGUACUCAAGCCUGAUGGGUCCUAUCACCUGGUACAAGACCUUAGGGUAAUCAACAGUGCUGUUACCCCAACCCACCCAGUGGUGCCAAAUGCCUGUACCAUGCUCUCUCAUAUCCCUCCCUCCACCACUCACUUUAUAGUUAUAGAUCUUAAAGAUGCCUUCUUUACUAUCCCCCCACACCUGAUUGUCAGAACCUCUUUGCAUUUACACAGAUUGACCCAGACACUCUCAGGUCUCAACAACUUACUUGGACAGUGCUCUCCCAAGGGUUCAGAGAUAGUCCCCACUUCUUUAGUCAAGCUCUCACUACUGACCUCACAGAAUUUGAUCUCAAACCUAGUGUCCUUCUUCAAUACAUAGAUGACCUUCUGUUAUGGUCCCCAUCCCACAUGUUAGCCAUACACCAUUCAGCCAAUCUUCUUAAUUUCCUUGCUAGUCGUGGAUACAGGGUCUCUCCUGCUAAAGCCCAGAUAGCCUCCCCAAAAGUCAAAUACCUAGGUCUUGCUCUCACCCCCACCACUCGUUCCAUCACUACAGAUUGUAAGGCCAUUCUUUGAGAUCUCCAGGUGCUCACAACUAAACAACAGGUUACAUCUUUAUUAGGUUUAGCUAAUUUCUUUCUUCUCUGGAUUCCUAACUUUGCAGCCCUAGCUCUUCCCCUCUACAAGGCUGCUAAGUGUCCCUUAUCAGAACCCCUGGAUCCUACUAGGCCCAUACAUGCCUCCUUUCAUAAAUUAAAAGAGGCUCUCCUAAAAGCCCCAGCUCUUACCCUUCCUGAUCCCACCCAACCUUUCCCCCUGUACACUACUUCUCAGGGCCACAAUGCUAUAGGUGUAC
Molecule: long non-coding RNA, 2097 nt
Organism: Cavia porcellus (domestic guinea pig)
Lineage: Eukaryota; Metazoa; Chordata; Mammalia; Rodentia; Caviidae
Exons: 3
Source: RefSeq, a predicted model, not a curated record